GUGGGGAAUCUUCCGCAAUGGACGAAAGUCUGACGGAGCAACGCCGCGUGAGUGAAGAAGGUCUUCGGAUCGUAAAGCUCUGUUGUACGGGACGAAUGUUGGAGGCGUGAAUAAUGCCAUCAAAUGACGGUACUGUACGAGGAAGCCACGGCUAACUACGUGCCAGCAGCCGCGGUAAUACGUAGGUGGCGAGCGUUGUCCGGAAUUAUUGGGCGUAAAGGGAGCGCAGGUGGGAAGGUAAGUCUGUUUUAAAAGCGUCGGGCUCAACCCGAUGAGGGAACAGAAACUAUUUUUCUUGAGUGCAGGAGAGGAAAGCGGAAUUCCUAGUGUAGCGGUGAAAUGCGUAGAUAUUAGGAGGAACACCAGUGGCGAAGGCGGCUUUCUGGACUGUAACUGACACUGAGGCUCGAAAGCCAGGGGAGCGAACGGGAUUAGAUACCCUUGUAGUCC
This 450-nucleotide ribosomal RNA is filed under the name uncultured bacterium. RNAcentral describes it as "partial 16S ribosomal RNA". It matches the Rfam family "Bacterial small subunit ribosomal RNA", at positions 354 to 796 of the family's 1533-position model. The record is from RNAcentral.